GGGCGUAAAGAGCUCGUAGGUGGUUUGUCGCGUUGUUCGUGAAAUCUCACGGCUUAACUGUGAGCGUGCGGGCGAUACGGGCAGACUAGAGUACUGCAGGGGAGACUGGAAUUCCUGGUGUAGCGGUGGAAUGCGCAGAUAUCAGGAGGAACACCGGUGGCGAAGGCGGGUCUCUGGGCAGUAACUGACGCUGAGGAGCGAAAGCGUGGGGAGCGAACAGGAUUAGAUACCCUGGUAGUCCACGCCGUAAACGGUGGGUACUAGGUGUGGGUUUCCUUCCUUGGGAUCCGUGCCGUAGCUAACGCAUUAAGUACCCCGCCUGGGGAGUACGGCCGCAAGGCUGAAACUCAAAGGAAUUGACGGGGGCCCGCACAAGCGGCGGAGCAUGUGGAUUAAUUCGAUGCAACGCGAAGAACCUUACCUGGGUUUGACAUGCACAGGACGCGUCUAGAGAUAGGCGUUCCCUUGUGGCCUGUGUGCAGGUGGUGCAUGGCUGUCGUCAGCUCGUGUCGUGAGAUGUUGGGUUAAGUCCCGCAACGAGCGCAACCCUUGUCUCAUGUUGCCAGCGGGUAAUGCCGGGGACUCGUGAGAGACUGCCGGGGUCAACUCGGAGGAAGGUGGGGAUGACGUCAAGUCAUCAUGCCCCUUAUGUCCAGGGCUUCACACAUGCUACAAUGGCCGGUACAAAGGGCUGCGAUGCCGUAAGGUUAAGCGAAUCCUUUUAAAGCCGGUCUCAGUUCGGAUUGGGGUCUGCAACUCGACCCCAUGAAGUCGGAGUCGCUAGUAAUCGCAGAUCAGCAACGCU
RNAcentral lists this ribosomal RNA (805 nucleotides) under uncultured Mycobacterium sp. RNAcentral describes it as "bacterial SSU rRNA". It matches the Rfam family "Bacterial small subunit ribosomal RNA", at positions 556 to 1358 of the family's 1533-position model. The record is from RNAcentral. Lineage: Bacteria; Bacillati; Actinomycetota; Actinomycetes; Mycobacteriales; Mycobacteriaceae.